Molecule: ribosomal RNA, 430 nt
Filed under: bacterium
Lineage: Bacteria
Description: partial 16S ribosomal RNA
Rfam family: Bacterial small subunit ribosomal RNA
Source: RNAcentral
UGGGGAAUAUUGGACAAUGGGCGCAAGCCUGAUCCAGCCAUGCCGCGUGUGUGAAGAAGGCCUUUUGGUUGUAAAGCACUUUAAGCGAGGAGGAGGCUACUUGGAUUAAUACUCUAGGAUAGUGGACGUUACUCGCAGAAUAAGCACCGGCUAACUCUGUGCCAGCAGCCGCGGUAUUACAGAGGGUGCGAGCGUUAAUCGGAUUUACUGGGCGUAAAGCGUGCGUAGGCGGAUUCUUAAGUCGGAUGUGAAAUCCAUGAGCUUAACUUAGGAAUUGCAUUCGAAACUGGGAAGCUAGAGUAUGGGAGAGGAUGGUAGAAUUCCAGGUGUAGCGGUGAAAUGCGUAGAGAUCUGGAGGAAUACCGAUGGCGAAGGCAGCCAUCUGGCCUAAUACUGACGCUGAGGUACGAAAGCAUGGGGAGCAAACAGG